RNAcentral lists this ribosomal RNA (468 nucleotides) under uncultured bacterium. Its description in RNAcentral is "partial 16S ribosomal RNA". It matches the Rfam family "Bacterial small subunit ribosomal RNA", at positions 28 to 507 of the family's 1533-position model. The record is from RNAcentral.
GACGAACGCUGGCGGCGUGCUUAACACAUGCAAGUCGAACGGAAAGGCCCUGCUUUUGUGGGGUGCUCGAGUGGCGAACGGGUGAGUAACACGUGAGUAACCUGCCCUUGACUUUGGGAUAACUUCAGGAAACUGGGGCUAAUACCGGAUAGGAGCUCCUGCUGCAUGGUGGGGGUUGGAAAGUUUCGGCGGUUGGGGAUGGACUCGCGGCUUAUCAGCUUGUUGGUGGGGUAGUGGCUUACCAAGGCUUUGACGGGUAGCCGGCCUGAGAGGGUGACCGGCCACAAUGGGACUGAGAUACGGCCCAGACUCCUACGGGAGGCAGCAGUGGGGAAUAUUGCACAAUGGGCGGAAGCCUGAUGCAGAAACGCCGCGUGCGGGAUGACGGCCUUCGGGUUGUAAACCGCUUUCGCCUGUGACGAAGCGUGAGUGACGGUAAUGGGUAAAGAAGCACCGGCUAACUACGUG